Molecule: ribosomal RNA, 1343 nt
Filed under: uncultured bacterium
Lineage: Bacteria
Description: 16S ribosomal RNA
Rfam family: Bacterial small subunit ribosomal RNA
Source: RNAcentral
GACGAACGUUGGCGGCGUGCUUAACACAUGCAAGUCGAACGGAAAGGCCCUGCUUUUGUGGGGUGCUCGAGUGGCGAACGUGUGAGUAACACGUGAGUAACCUGCCCUUGACUUUGGGAUAACUUCAGGAAACUGGGGCUAAUACCGGAUAGGAGCUCCUGCUGCAUGGUGGGGGUUGGAAAGUUUCGGCGGUUGGGGAUGGACUCGCGGCUUAUCAGCUUGUUGGUGGGGUAGUGGCUUACCAAGGCUUUGACGGGUAGCCGGCCUGAGAGGGUGACCGGCCACAUUGGGACUGAGAUACGGCCCAGACUCCUACGGGAGGCAGCAGUGGGGAAUAUUGCACAAUGGGCGGAAGCCUGAUGCAGCAACGCCGCGUGCGGGAUGACGGCCUUCGGGUUGUAAACCGCUUUCGCCUGUGACGAAGCGUGAGUGACGGUAAUGGGUAAAGAAGCACCGGCUAACUACGUGCCAGCAGCCGCGGUGAUACGUAGGGUGCGAGCGUUGUCCGGAUUUAUUGGGCGUAAAGGGCUCGUAGGUGGUUGAUCGCGUCGGAAGUGUAAUCUUGGGGCUUAACCCUGAGCGUGCUUUCGAUACGGGUUGACUUGAGGAAGGUAGGGAGAAAUGGAAUUCCUGGUGGAGCGGUGGAAUGCGCAGAUAUCAGGAGGAACACCAGUGGCGAAGGCGGUUCUCUGGGCCUUUCCUGACGCUGAGGAGCGAAAGCGUGGGGAGCGAACAGGCUUAGAUACCCUGGUAGUCCACGCUGUAAACGGUGGGUACUAGGUGUGAGGUCCAUUCCACGGGUUCCGUGCCGUAGCUAACGCUUUAAGUACCCCGCCUGGGGAGUACGGCCGCAAGGCUAAAACUCAAAGGAAUUGACGGGGCCCCGCACAAGCGGCGGAGCAUGCGGAUUAAUUCGAUGCAACGCGUAGAACCUUACCUGGGUUUGACAUGGAUCGGGAGUGCUCAGAGAUGGGUGUGCCUCUUUUGGGGUCGGUUCACAGGUGGUGCAUGGCUGUCGUCAGCUCGUGUCGUGAGAUGUUGGGUUAAGUCCCGCAACGAGCGCAGCCCUUGUUCACUGUUGCCAGCACGUUAUGGUGGGGACUCAGUGGAGACCGCCGGGGUCAACUCGGAGGAAGGUGGGGAUGACGUCAAGUCAUCAUGCCCCUUAUGUCCAGGGCUUCACGCAUGCUACAAUGGCUGGUACAGAGAGUGGCGAGCCUGUGAGGGUGAGCGAAUCUCGGAAAGCCGGUCUCAGUUCGGAUUGGGGUCUGCAACUCGACCUCAUGAAGUCGGAGUCGCUAGUAAUCGCAGAUCAGCAACGCUGCGGUGAAUACGUUCCCGGG